This 72-nucleotide transfer RNA is filed under the name Salmonella enterica subsp. enterica serovar Kentucky. RNAcentral's name for it is "tRNA-Glu". It matches the Rfam family "tRNA". Rfam says of the family: Transfer RNA (tRNA) molecules are approximately 80 nucleotides in length. The record is from RNAcentral. Lineage: Bacteria; Pseudomonadati; Pseudomonadota; Gammaproteobacteria; Enterobacterales; Enterobacteriaceae.
GGCCCCGUGGUCAAGCGGUUAAGACACCGCCCUUUCACGGCGGUAACAGGGGUUCGAAUCCCGUCGGGGUCA